Molecule: ribosomal RNA, 500 nt
Filed under: uncultured bacterium
Lineage: Bacteria
Description: partial 16S ribosomal RNA
Rfam family: Bacterial small subunit ribosomal RNA
Source: RNAcentral
AUUGAACGCUGGCGGCGGGCCUAACACAUGCAAGUCGAGCGGAUGACGGGAGCUUGCUCCUUGAUUCAGCGGCGGACGGGUGAGUAAUGCCUAGGAAUCUGCCUGGUAGUGGGGGACAACGUUUCGAAAGGAACGCUAAUACCGCAUACGCCCUACGGGAGAAAGCAGGGGACCUUCGGGCCUUGCGCUAUCAGAUGAGCCUAGGUCGGAUUAGCUAGUUGGUGGGGUAAUGGCUCACCAAGGAGACGAUCCGUAACUGGUCUGAGAGGAUGAUCAGUCACACUGGAACUGAGACACGGUCCAGGCUCCUACGGGAGGCAGCAGUGGGGAAUAUUGGACAAUGGGCGAAAGCCUGAUCCAGCCAUGCCGCGUGUGUGAAGAAGGUCUUCGGAUUGUAAAGCACUUUAAGUUGGGAGGAAGGGCAGUAAGCUAAUACCUUGCUGUUUUGACGUUACCGACAGAAUAAGCACCGGCUAACUCUGUGCCAGCCGCCGCGGUAA